Molecule: long non-coding RNA, 2083 nt
Organism: Mangifera indica (mango)
Lineage: Eukaryota; Viridiplantae; Streptophyta; Magnoliopsida; Sapindales; Anacardiaceae
Exons: 2
Source: RefSeq, a predicted model, not a curated record
UAUUAGAUUAUAGCGAUUGGGAAUCAUAAUUAAUAUUUGUGUUAAGAACAUAGUGAAUAUCAAGUUUCAAUUAAUUGCUAAUGCUUCUUGACUAGUUUAGACAUAAUAUUAAAUUUGAGUGUGCGUUUUUGUUGAAAUAUUUAUUAUAUAUAUGGUCGUAUUAUUGCAUUGCAUGAAAUUAAUUGAGUAACAAAUUUAAUUGAUAUAGCUGAUUUUGUUUCUAUAAUUUUAUCUUUGGAGUCUCAUCUCAUUGGACUCAAAAUGAUCCAAUCUUGGGAGAUAUAAAAUGAUAUUAUAAGGGAGUAUUUUUCUUUAGUAUUUAGGGUGGAUUCUCCUGAGUUUGGAUUUUUAUUCGGCUUGGUUUGAAUCGGAGCUAACCUUGCCAGUGAUUCUACUUCUUUGCAUGAUGCUAGAUUUGAAUAUGAAUGCUGGAGAAGGGGAACAUUUACAAGUUAUCUUCAUUGGCUAUUGUUCUUUGACAGGAAAUCCAAAUCUCAGUUUGUCUCUCUCGUAGUGGAGUUCUGUUACUUUUUAAGUUAUUGUUUGUGAAUUAGUGUGUAUUUACUCUAGAUAGAGUUUAUGAUUAAUACUCAGAACUGAUGCAGGCUCGCAAUGCUCAUGGGCUUUAUUGUGUUCCUUUGUAUGAUACUGUAGUGCUGGUGCUGUGGAAUUUAUGAUCUGCCAUUCAGAGGCAUCAAUUGCUUUUGUGGAGGAAAAGAAGAUUUCUGAAGUUUUCACGUUUACAUAAGUUCCCAUACAUCAUCUUAAUUAUAUUAUAUAAUUUAAUUAUUUAUUUUUAAUAAUAUCUAUUUAAGGUUCUACUUAAAAAAAGCAAGGACAUGAUAUUGCUAGACAACUUGAAGUCAUAAAGAGGUGAAAAAUUGAUGGUGUUCAGUUCAUCAAAAGGUAGUACUUACCAGUCUUGCCUAUUGAGAAUAUUUCAAGAUGAAGUUAGAUAUUGUGACUCGAAUGCUAACUCCAUUAGGCAAGUUUUAUUCAAAAGAUGUAGCUAACAAUGAAAAAUUACCUAUCUUUACCCAACUUGAGGGGAUAAAAAUUAAACAUUUAUUAGUUUUGAUCUUUAUUUUGUCAUUACUUGUGAUAUGUAUUUUUGUGUGUAAUUGAGUUUAAUUUAACUUUAGUGAGAGUCAGAUGUUGAAAUGGUGGAUGAGGUAGUUAUGAUAAAACAUUUCUUGCAAUAUAAGUGUCAACAUUAUGACUCUUUUGGCACUCCAUAGGAAGUAUGCCAGCAACCUUGAAAUAAAAUUAGAGGAUUGAAAUAAAUUGUAUAACCAUUUCAAGAGUGAACAAUUCAAGACAUUUCUUGAUUUUCUUCUAUCUUGUAGUGUGAAAUUGUUGACUCUCAAAAUGGUUACAAAAUUCAUUGUAAUCCUUUUCUUGUAUUUCAUUACGAGGGUGUUGUCAUGUAUACUGUGUGAACUACUUAAAAAACUAAUAAUGUUUAUAACAUCAAUAUUUAUAUUGCAAGGAACAUUUUGUUGUAGCUGUUUCAACUAUCAUUCUGGCAUAUGCGCUUUCAUUCAAGGUCAAAUUUAAUUCAGUAUGCAGGAGAGAAAUGAAAUGAUAACUUAGUGGAAAUAUAGAAAGGUAAGACACAUGAAAUGACAAAUAAAAACUAAUGAAUGAUUAAUAUAUAUUAUCUCAAGUUGGGUAAAGAUAAGUAUUAAUAUUUGAGUCAUAAUACCAAACUCAUCUUGAAAAUCUUUUCAGCAGGCCAAACUAAUAAGUAAUUCCCUUUAAUCAUCUUGACACCAUCAAUGUUCCACUUUGAUCCUUUUUUUGACUUAAAGACCUCAAGUAAUACCACAUCCUUUCUUUUUUUAAAUAGAAUCUUAGAUAGAUAUUAUUAAAAAUAAAAUAAUUAAUUAAAUAUUAAUAUAAUUAUGGAAAAAUAAGUUAAUAACUCAGCUUUUGCAUUUUAAUUUGCAACUAUUUGUUUCAUUUAAUGUACUCCCAAUUUGGUCAUGUAUAGAUGAAAUAGGAGGUACAGUGUUUGUCAAUGCAAGAGACCUUUCAGUAUGAAACAUUUUAGUAGGAGCAAAAUUUAUUGUGUUGUGAUGGA